GUCUACGCCCAUACCUAGGUGAACACCAGUUCCCGUCCGAUCACUGCAGUUAAGUGAAAACGUCUGAGGGUCUCGUUCAUACUAUGGUUGGAGACAACAUGGGAAUCCGGGUGCUGUAAGCU
Schizosaccharomyces cryophilus OY26 is the source of this 122-nucleotide ribosomal RNA. The record is from Rfam. Lineage: Eukaryota; Fungi; Ascomycota; Schizosaccharomycetes; Schizosaccharomycetales; Schizosaccharomycetaceae.